AAUAUAAAGCAAAAAACUAUACUUUUAUUUUUAAUUUCAUUUUAGUAAUUUUUUUUUGGGCAGCUUUGAGAAAUUUUCUGAAAAUGAGUCACUGCUCUUGCUGAUUCAUACCACUGGUCUCUCAGAUUUCAAAAUUUCUUCACUUCAACAGACUAAGGUUUCAAAUAUUACAAGGCACUACUUCUUUGUCUUGAAGUAUGAAAAAAAUUCCAAGCUGUGGAAGUUAUUUGUUGUCGUUGAAAUUUUAACAACAUUUUACCACGAGGAGGAAGAAAUAUCAUUUUGACAAAGGAAAAAAUGGAGUGUAAUAAAGAUGAAGCAAUCAGGGCGAAAGAAAUUGCUGAGAAGAAGUUUAGAGAAAAAGAUUUUGCUGGGGCAAAGAAAUUUGGGUUGAAGGCUCAAAAUUUAUAUCCUGAACUUGAAGGUCUAUCACAAAUGUUGGUGACAUUGGAUGUGCAUCUCUCUGCUGAGAAAAGAACAAUUACUGGUGAAGUUAAUUAUUAUUCUGUGCUUGGCAUAAGCCCCUGGGCUGAUGAUGAGACAAUCAGGAAACAAUAUCGGAAGCUAGCCCUCAUGCUUCACCCUGAUAAAAACAAGUCUUUGGGUGCAGAUGGUGCAUUUAAGCUGGUAUCGGAGGCAUGGAGUUUAUUAUCUGAUAAGGCAAAGAGAGUGGCAUACAAUGACAAAUUGAAUGUGAGACAAUUUCAGCAGAAAAAUUCUACCCACGCCAAGGUUUCCUCUAUGCCAUCUGCUGCUAAUGGCUUUCACAAUAUUAACAGUGCUCGGACAGGGCCGACCUCUGUCCCGUCUCCUUCCGUUCAAAAAUCUGAUACCUUUUGGACUAUCUGCAACAGAUGUAAGACACAAUAUGAGUAUCUGAGGAUGUAUCUUAAUCACACUCUCCUAUGUCCAAACUGCCAUGAGGCUUUUUUUGCUGCGGAGAAGGGUCCUCCUCCAAACGUUCUAAAGACGUCCAAUUAUUCUUCUCGCCAAAAGCAUCACUCUAAACAUCAUUCUGUGAAUAGUAAUAUGUUCAAUGUUGGAGUGAAUUUACCAAGUGAGCCAGAUCUUCAGCGGAAUCAUUCUUCUAGAAUGGCGGGUGCUGGUGGUGCAGUUCAUCAGGCACACCAACAGGUGAAGAGAGAGCAUGAGGAAUCAAGGGCAGGCGCUGACUGGAGGAAUUACACUUCUAUUGGGGCAGACCAACUGUUUAAAAGGAGAAAAUCUGAUGGAAUUCAAGUUUAUUCUUUUGCUGCUGAUUCAGGUUUGGAAAGUGCAUCUGAACAAAGAAAGGGCUAUAAUGGGACAGAAAGGGUUUAUGGUUUUUCCGGUAUUAAUAGUAAGCCCAACAGCAAGAGAGAGUUGUCAUGUGUUGAGCUCCGUAACAUGUUAAUGGAGAAAGCACAAAUGGAUAUUCGUAAAAAGCUUGAAGAGUGGAGAUCAAGUCAAAUGAAGCCAAAAGAAAACAAAAAACAGAAAGGUGUUGUCAGGAAUGGUGCUAUUAACCAUAAGAAGCAUGAUAAUUCUGCUGUUAUGGAAGAAACCAAAGACAAGAAGUCUUCUUUAAGUUUUUCAACCAAUAAUUUGAGUACAGACACAUCGUUGUCUAUAAAUGUUCCGGAUCCUGAUUUUCACAAUUUUGAUUUGGAUCGAACAGAAAGGUCUUUUGGAGAUGACCAGGUUUGGGCUGCCUAUGAUGAAAAUGAUGGAAUGCCUCGUUAUUAUGCUCGAAUUCAGAAGGUGAUAUCCUUGAAGCCAUUUAAGAUGCGUAUAAGCUGGCUUAAUUCAAGAAGUAACACCGAGUUCAGCUCUAUAGAUUGGGUAGGUUCUGGUUUUCCUAAAACUUGUGGGGAUUUCAGAGCUGGCCGAUUUGAAGUUAGUGAUACGUUGAAUUCUUUCUCUCAUAAGGUUAAAUGGGUGAAAGGUGCUCGUGGGAUCAUCCGCAUACUUCCAAGCAAAGGAGAUGUUUGGGCUGUUUACAGAAAUUGGUCCCCAGACUGGAACGAGCAUACUCCGAAUGAAGUGGUACACCGAUAUGACAUGGUGGAAGUGCUUGAUGAUUAUAGUGAAGAGCAAGGUGUUUCUGUUGCUCCUCUUAUUAAGGUUGCUGGUUUCAAGACAGUCUUUAGUAGGCAUAUGGACCUCCAAGAAGUCUGGAAGAUUCCGAGAGAUGAAAUGUUACGGUUUUCUCAUCAGGUCCCAGACCAUCUGCUUACUGGCGAAGAAGCUCAUAAUGCUCCAAAGGGUUGCCGAGAGCUAGACCCAGCUGCUACUCCUUUGGAACUUCUUCAGGUAGUUAUUGAAGCCAACGAGGCGGAAAUGGUGGAUGCCACUUUCACAACUAAGGAAGAAGUAGCUCCUCAUUCUUCCGAAAGCAAGAUUGAUCAGAUUAUUGAGAAUUCCUCCGAAGCUGAAGAGAUCGAGACAAUAGAAAGUGAUGAACAACCCAGUGACAGCUGAUACAUAGAUGGCUAAGGAAGCCGAUGUUGUAGAUGAUCCGUAAAAAGCUCAGAGAUGACCUAACGAGAACUGCUCGAUAUACACCGAUAUAGCAGGUUUUGAGGAAGCCAAGGUUUUUCUUUAAAUGAAUUUCGCCUCCGUGCAUGCGGCUUGUGUUUAGAAUUCAUUGUGCCUCCGUGCGGUUUGUGUUUAGAUCAGAGCAUUAGCCUGCAGUAGUAGCAAGUACUUUGUGUGUGUUAUUUUUUUGGAAAAUCCAGAAGAUUACCAAUCAAGAGGUAUUCUCACAUUACGUAGGUUUCGAGUUCGAGUCUUCACAUCACCACAUCCAUGAUAGUUUAUUACUAUAGUGAGUGUAAAAAAAAUGGGUUACUCCCUAUUCAUUCACCUGUAAAGAGUUUUCGUCGGAUUUGACACUGUUAAUAAUUUUUGUGGAGAGAUUAAAGUCUACAAAAUUAAAUAUAUGAGGAUUGAAUAUAUACAAA
Molecule: RNA transcript, 2942 nt
Organism: Mercurialis annua (annual mercury)
Lineage: Eukaryota; Viridiplantae; Streptophyta; Magnoliopsida; Malpighiales; Euphorbiaceae
Exons: 3
Source: RefSeq, a predicted model, not a curated record